Molecule: unclassified non-coding RNA, 21 nt
Filed under: Mus musculus (house mouse)
Lineage: Eukaryota; Metazoa; Chordata; Mammalia; Rodentia; Muridae
Description: oocyte_clustered_small_RNA5908
Source: RNAcentral
UGGAUCUUCUAGCCCAAAGGU